Long non-coding RNA from Mauremys reevesii (Reeves's turtle), 903 nucleotides. RefSeq lists it as uncharacterized. The transcript is spliced from 4 exons. The record is from RefSeq and is a predicted model, not a curated record. Lineage: Eukaryota; Metazoa; Chordata; Testudines; Geoemydidae.
GGAGCAAGAAAGGUGCUCCUGGGUGGCUGCUGCAGCAGCUCCAGCUCCAGUAUCUGGACAGAGCCAUCACUAGCAGGGACCAGGGGAGCAAGGACGGUGUCCCUGGCUGGCUACUGGGACUCAAGCAAGGCUUCAGCUUGAGGUUCUGCAUGAGUUCCAGGAUCUCAUCUUAAGAAAUGCUACCAUGCUGCACCACAGGAACCUAGAUUAACCUGUCUCCAAUUGGGGAGGAGCGGGGAACAAAUACAACUGGCUAGUCUUGGGAAGAAUAAAACUGAUAGCUUGGACCAUUCAACAAGGUGCUCUCCUUGGGCAAACAGACUAACCAUUUCAUUAACUCAGAAGGUACAAAGGCAUAAGAAGGAAGUGCAAAAGGGAGAAGAGAGAAAGUGGAAGAGCUGUAGGCUGGUAGAGCCACAGUCACAGGCGGACUCUCCCCUGCUGGGCUCAGGAGCCUUCAAGCCCCAGAAUACUGUUAAAGCUGGUACAUGAUCUGUAACAGUGGUGGGAAUGAACUUUGUUUAUCCAUCAUUGGGUAUUCUACCUGAAGAAGGUCUCUGAAUAGUUUGUCUGGAAAGAGGCAGGAGUGGAACGUGCCCUUGCCACAAUCCAUUAGAGUGUUAGUUGUUUCCAGGCACGUCGCUGGCUAAGCUUUAUGUACUCAUAGUAUCAAGGCCAAGAUUUUAGAUAUCCAAUCCGAAACGCCUUAAGGGUUCCUGGUUUAAAGAAGUUGGGAAGGAAACUCAGCACUUCCGGAAACUCAGUCCCUUUGAAGGUGUCUCAAGUUGGGCACCCAAAAAUCACUAGUAACUUCUGAAAAUCAUGACCCUAGUUCUUUGCCGUUAACACCCCUAUGCCUAGAGCUGGUUUGACUAUUUUAUCCAAAAAAACUAUUUCAAGGGG